UACGUAGGGGGCAAGCGUUGUCCGGAUUUAUUGGGCGUAAAGAGCGUGUAGGCGGCCAGGUAGGUCUGCUGUGAAAACCCGCGGCUCAACCGUGUGGUCUGCAGUCGAUACGGGCAGGCUAGAGUUCGGUAGGGGAGACUGGAAUUCCUGGUGUAGCGGUGAAAUGCGCAGAUAUCAGGAGGAACACCGGUGGCGAAGGCGGGUCUCUGGGCCGAUACUGACGCUGAGGAGCGAAAGCGUGGGGAGCGAACAGG
RNAcentral lists this ribosomal RNA (254 nucleotides) under uncultured bacterium. RNAcentral's name for it is "partial 16S ribosomal RNA". It matches the Rfam family "Bacterial small subunit ribosomal RNA", at positions 524 to 776 of the family's 1533-position model. The record is from RNAcentral.